CCUACGGGAGGCAGCAGUGAGGAAUAUUGGUCAAUGGGCGCGAGCCUGAACCAGCCAAGUAGCGUGAAGGAUGACUGCCCUACGGGUUGUAAACUUCUUUUAUAAAGGAAUAAAGUGAGGCACGUGUGCCUUUUUGUAUGUACUUUAUGAAUAAGGAUCGGCUAACUCCGUGCCAGCAGCCGCGGUAAUACGGAGGAUCCGAGCGUUAUCCGGAUUUAUUGGGUUUAAAGGGAGCGUAGAUGGGUUGUUAAGUCAGUUGUGAAAGUUUGCGGCUCAACCGUAAAAUUGCAAUUGAUACUGGCAGCCUUGAGUACAGUUGAGGUAGGCGGAAUUCGUGGUGUAGCGGUGAAAUGCUUAGAUAUCACGAAGAACCCCGAUUGCGAAGGCAGCAUGCCGGCUUCCGACUGACGCUGAAGCACGAAAGCGUGGGGAUCGAACAGGAUUAGAUACCCCUGUAGUC
Molecule: ribosomal RNA, 460 nt
Filed under: uncultured bacterium
Lineage: Bacteria
Description: partial 16S ribosomal RNA
Rfam family: Bacterial small subunit ribosomal RNA
Source: RNAcentral